Molecule: ribosomal RNA, 729 nt
Filed under: Pseudomonas sp.
Lineage: Bacteria; Pseudomonadati; Pseudomonadota; Gammaproteobacteria; Pseudomonadales; Pseudomonadaceae
Description: bacterial SSU rRNA
Rfam family: Bacterial small subunit ribosomal RNA
Source: RNAcentral
AUGCAGUCGAGCGGAUGAAGGGAGCUUGCUCCUGGAUUCAGCGGCGGACGGGUGAGUAAUGCCUAGGAAUCUGCCUGGUAGUGGGGGAUAACGUCCGGAAACGGGCGCUAAUACCGCAUACGUCCUGAGGGAGAAAGUGGGGGAUCUUCGGACCUCACGCUAUCAGAUGAGCCUAGGUCGGAUUAGCUAGUUGGUGGGGUAAAGGCCUACCAAGGCGACGAUCCGUAACUGGUCUGAGAGGAUGAUCAGUCACACUGGAACUGAGACACGGUCCAGACUCCUACGGGAGGCAGCAGUGGGGAAUAUUGGACAAUGGGCGAAAGCCUGAUCCAGCCAUGCCGCGUGUGUGAAGAAGGUCUUCGGAUUGUAAAGCACUUUAAGUUGGGAGGAAGGGCAGUAAGUUAAUACCUUGCUGUUUUGACGUUACCAACAGAAUAAGCACCGGCUAACUUCGUGCCAGCAGCCGCGGUAAUACGAAGGGUGCAAGCGUUAAUCGGAAUUACUGGGCGUAAAGCGCGCGUAGGUGGUUCAGCAAGUUGGAUGUGAAAUCCCCGGGCUCAACCUGGGAACUGCAUCCAAAACUACUGAGCUAGAGUACGGUAGAGGGUGGUGGAAUUUCCUGUGUAGCGGUGAAAUGCGUAGAUAUAGGAAGGAACACCAGUGGCGAAGGCGACCACCUGGACUGAUACUGACACUGAGGUGCGAAAGCGUGGGGAGCAAACAGGAUUA